AAUGUAGGCGGUUGGAUAAGUCAGAGGUGAAAUCCCUCAGCCUAACUGAGGAACUGCCUUUGAUACUGUUUGACUAGAGGACAGGAGAGGAAAGUGGAAUUUCCGGUGUAGCGGUGGAAUGCGUAGAUAUCGGAAGGAACACCAGAGGCGAAGGCGGCUUUCUGGACUGAUCCUGACGCUGAGAUUCGAAAGCUAGGGUAGCAAACA
This 207-nucleotide ribosomal RNA is filed under the name uncultured bacterium. RNAcentral's name for it is "partial 16S ribosomal RNA". It matches the Rfam family "Bacterial small subunit ribosomal RNA", at positions 568 to 774 of the family's 1533-position model. The record is from RNAcentral.